UGCACUUGCGUUUCUGUUUAACUUGUGAACAAGCCCUUAUAGACAAGUGCAAAAAAUAAAUCCUCUUUUGCAACCCAGAUCUCAUUGUUUAAUAAGAGUUUUGAUACACAUAAAAGAGAUAUU
This is a small nucleolar RNA of Cercocebus atys (sooty mangabey), 123 nucleotides long. The record is from Ensembl. NCBI's taxonomy places the organism in Eukaryota, Metazoa, Chordata, Mammalia, Primates, Cercopithecidae.